Non-coding RNA from Equus caballus (horse), 329 nucleotides. The record is from RefSeq and is a predicted model, not a curated record. NCBI's taxonomy places the organism in Eukaryota, Metazoa, Chordata, Mammalia, Perissodactyla, Equidae.
AGGUGUGCUCUCUGCUUAAAGAGGUUCUCAGCUGCUCGGACACCCCCAUAGUGGAGACCAUUUUCGAUCGACAUGAUGGUCUACAGACUGGAAUUUGCCAUUAAAGUCUAGGCCUUCCAGGAAGGAACUGGCCUCUGCUGAGCUGAACCGUUUCCUGCUCUUCAACCAACUCCACGCCCAGCUUAUGAGGGCUCACAAAAGGCUGUCCCAUGUUCUGGACAAUGACAUGGCUGCUGUUUGCAGACCAGAGCAGCAUUCUCUCUGAGGAAACUGCUCCCCCUCCUUUCUCACUAGGCAUGUGUUAUACUCCAUGUUCCUCAUCAAAUAAA